Molecule: ribosomal RNA, 251 nt
Filed under: uncultured Pseudomonas sp.
Lineage: Bacteria; Pseudomonadati; Pseudomonadota; Gammaproteobacteria; Pseudomonadales; Pseudomonadaceae
Description: partial 16S ribosomal RNA
Rfam family: Bacterial small subunit ribosomal RNA
Source: RNAcentral
CGGGUGAGUAAUGCCUAGGAAUCUGCCUGGUAGUGGGGGACGAACGUUUCGAAAGGAACGCUAAUACCGCAUACGUCCUACGGGAGAAAGCAGGGGACCUUCGGGCCUUGCGCUAUCAGAUGAGCCUAGGUCGGAUUAGCUAGUUGGUGAGGUAAUGGCUCACCAAGGCGACGAUCCGUAACUGGUCUGAGAGGAUGAUCAGUCACACUGGAACUGAGACACGGUCCAGACUCCUACGGGAGGCAGCAGCC